RNAcentral lists this ribosomal RNA (443 nucleotides) under uncultured bacterium. RNAcentral's name for it is "partial 16S ribosomal RNA". It matches the Rfam family "Bacterial small subunit ribosomal RNA", at positions 338 to 795 of the family's 1533-position model. The record is from RNAcentral.
CCUACGGGAGGCAGCAGUGGGGAAUAUUGGGCAAUGGGCGCAAGCCUGACCCAGCAACGCCGCGUGAAGGAAGAAGGCUCUCGGGUUGUAAACUUCUUUUAUCAGGGACGCAGCAAGUGACGGUACCUGCUGCAUAAGCCUCGGCUAACUACGUGCCAGCAGCCGCGGGAAUACGUAGGUGGCAAGCGUUAUCCGGAUUUACUGGGUGUAAAGGGCGUGUAGGCGGGAAAGCAAGUCAGAUGUGAAAACCAUGGGCUCAACCUGUGGCCUGCAUUUGAAACUGUUUUUCUUGAGUACUGGAGAGGCAGACGGAAUGCCUAGUGUAGCGGUGAAAUGCAUAGAUAUUAGGAGGAACACCAGUGGCGAAGGCGGUCUGCUGGACAGCAACUGACGCUGAGGCGCGAAAGCGUGGGGAGCAAACAGGAUUAGAUACCCCAGUAGUC